GCUGCGAUGGCCGAGUGGUUAAGGCGUUGGACUUGAAAUCCAAUGGGUUAUACCCGCGUAGGUUCGAACCCUACUCGCAGCG
This 82-nucleotide transfer RNA is filed under the name Trichuris suis (pig whipworm). It matches the Rfam family "tRNA". Rfam says of the family: Transfer RNA (tRNA) molecules are approximately 80 nucleotides in length. Their secondary structure includes four short double-helical elements and three loops (D, anti-codon, and T loops). Lineage: Eukaryota; Metazoa; Nematoda; Enoplea; Trichinellida; Trichuridae. The record is from Rfam by way of RNAcentral.